UAGGGAAUCUUCGGCAAUGGACGGAAGUCUGACCGAGCAACGCCGCGUGAGUGAAGAAGGUUUUCGGAUCGUAAAGCUCUGUUGUUAGAGAAGAACGUUGGUAGGAGUGGAAAAUCUACCAAGUGACGGUAACUAACCAGAAAGGGACGGCUAACUACGUGCCAGCAGCCGCGGUAAUACGUAGGUCCCGAGCGUUGUCCGGAUGUAUUGGGCGUAAAGCGAGCGCAGGCGGUUCUUUAAGUCUGAAGUUAAAGGCAGUGGCUUAACCAGUGUACGCUUUGGAAACUGGAGGACUUGAGUGCAGAAGGGGAGAGUGGAAUUCCAUGUGUAGCGGUGAAAUGCGUAGAUAUAUGGAGGAACACCGGUGGCGAAAGCGGCUCUCUGGUCUGUAACUGACGCUGAGGCUCGAAAGCGUGGGGAGCAAACAGG
Molecule: ribosomal RNA, 429 nt
Filed under: Bacillota bacterium
Lineage: Bacteria; Bacillati; Bacillota
Description: Firmicutes bacterium partial 16S ribosomal RNA
Rfam family: Bacterial small subunit ribosomal RNA
Source: RNAcentral